RNAcentral lists this unclassified non-coding RNA (221 nucleotides) under plant metagenome. RNAcentral's name for it is "partial contains small subunit ribosomal RNA, internal transcribed spacer 1, and 5.8S ribosomal RNA". The record is from RNAcentral.
UCUCCGUUGGUGAACCAGCGGAGGGAUCAUUACCGAGUUUACAACUCCCAAACCCUAUGUGAACGUUACCUUUUGUUGCUUCGGCGGGAUCGCCCUGGCGCUUUACGGCGCCGGAUUUCAACGCCCGCCGGAGGCCCAAAACUCUUUUUUAUUUAUGUUUCUGCACCGAGUGGCACAAGCAAAAUAAAUCAAAACUUUCAACAACGGAUCUCUUGGUUCUG